RNAcentral lists this non-coding RNA (24 nucleotides) under Arabidopsis thaliana (thale cress). Lineage: Eukaryota; Viridiplantae; Streptophyta; Magnoliopsida; Brassicales; Brassicaceae. The record is from RNAcentral.
AUCAAGUGCUGUGUGGUUUGGUUG